This 464-nucleotide ribosomal RNA is filed under the name Vreelandella stevensii. RNAcentral describes it as "partial 16S ribosomal RNA". It matches the Rfam family "Bacterial small subunit ribosomal RNA", at positions 338 to 794 of the family's 1533-position model. The record is from RNAcentral. Lineage: Bacteria; Pseudomonadati; Pseudomonadota; Gammaproteobacteria; Oceanospirillales; Halomonadaceae.
CCUACGGGGUGCAGCAGUGGGGAAUAUUGGACAAUGGGCGAAAGCCUGAUCCAGCCAUGCCGCGUGUGUGAAGAAGGCCUUCGGGUUGUAAAGCACUUUCAGUGGGGAAGAAAGCCUUGGGGCUAAUACCCUCGAGGAAGGACAUCACCCACAGAAGAAGCACCGGCUAACUCCGUGCCAGCAGCCGCGGUAAUACGGAGGGUGCGAGCGUUAAUCGGAAUUACUGGGCGUAAAGCGCGCGUAGGCGGUCUGAUAAGCCGGUUGUGAAAGCCCCGGGCUCAACCUGGGAACGGCAUCCGGAACUGUCAGGCUAGAGUGCAGGAGAGGAAGGUAGAAUUCCCGGUGUAGCGGUGAAAUGCGUAGAGAUCGGGAGGAAUACCAGUGGCGAAGGCGGCCUUCUGGACUGACACUGACGCUGAGGUGCGAAAGCGUGGGUAGCAAACAGGAUUAGAUACCCUAGUAGC